This 110-nucleotide small RNA is filed under the name Halomonas shengliensis. RNAcentral's name for it is "t44 RNA". It matches the Rfam family "t44 RNA". Rfam says of the family: This family consists of a number of bacterial RNA genes of between 135 and 170 bases in length. The t44 gene is found between the map and rpsB genes in all species in the full alignment apart from Shigella flexneri. The record is from RNAcentral. Lineage: Bacteria; Pseudomonadati; Pseudomonadota; Gammaproteobacteria; Oceanospirillales; Halomonadaceae.
AAUCAACGUAACGCCUUGAAAACACACAUGCACCGGCACAUGGUCCCGGGUGCUGCCGCGUCUCUCGCGAGCGUGGCGGUCGGAUCCAUGGGGUGCAUGGAGGCCUAACC